Molecule: ribosomal RNA, 292 nt
Filed under: uncultured archaeon
Lineage: Archaea
Description: partial 16S ribosomal RNA
Rfam family: Archaeal small subunit ribosomal RNA
Source: RNAcentral
GCGCGAAAACUUUACAAUGCGGGAAACCGUGAUAAGGGGACACCGAGUGCCAGCAUCAUAUGCUGGCUGUCCAGGUGUGCAAAAUACACCUGUUAGCAAGGGCCGGGCAAGACCGGUGCCAGCCGCCGCGGUAACACCGGCGGCCCGAGUGGUGAUCGUGAUUAUUGGGUCUAAAGGGUCCGUAGCCGGUUUGGUCAGUCCUCCGGGAAAUCUGACAGCUUAACUGUUAGGCUUUCGGAGGAUACUGCCAGACUUGGAACCGGGAGAGGUAAGAGGUACUACAGGGGUAGGA